Molecule: ribosomal RNA, 322 nt
Filed under: uncultured eukaryote
Lineage: Eukaryota
Description: partial 18S ribosomal RNA
Rfam family: Eukaryotic small subunit ribosomal RNA
Source: RNAcentral
CCCUUAGAUGUUCUGGGCCGCACGCGUGCUACACUGAGUGGAUCAGCGGGUCAGGUUGCGCGAAAGCGUUUCCUAAUCUUUAAAUCCGCUCGUGAUGGGGAUUGACGGUCGCAAUUUUCUGUCAUGAACGAGGAAUACCUUGUAAGCGCGGGUCAUCAUCCCGCGCUGAAUACGUCCCUGCCCUUUGUACACACCGCCCGUUGCUCCUACCGAUUGAGUGGUCCGGUGAGGCUUUGGGAUCUGAGCGGAAAGAGCGUUUCGCUGUUUCUGCUCGGAAAACUCAGUCGAACCUUAUCAUUUAGAGGAAGGAGAAGUCGUAACA